RNAcentral lists this ribosomal RNA (505 nucleotides) under uncultured bacterium. Its description in RNAcentral is "partial 16S ribosomal RNA". It matches the Rfam family "Bacterial small subunit ribosomal RNA", at positions 28 to 507 of the family's 1533-position model. The record is from RNAcentral.
GACGAACGCUGGCGGCGUGCCUAAUACAUGCAAGUAGAACGCACAGUUUAUACCGUAGCUUGCUACACCAUAGACUGUGAGUUGCGAACGGGUGAGUAACGCGUAGGUAACCUGCCUGGUAGCGGGGGAUAACUAUUGGAAACGAUAGCUAAUACCGCAUAAUAUUAAUUAUUGCAUGAUAAUUAAUUGAAAGGUGCAAUUGCACCACUACCAGAUGGACCUGCGUUGUAUUAGCUAGUAGGUGAGGUAACGGCUCACCUAGGCGACGAUACAUAGCCGACCUGAGAGGGUGAUCGGCCACACUGGGACUGAGACACGGCCCAGACUCCUACGGGAGGCAGCAGUAGGGAAUCUUCGGCAAUGGACGAAAGUCUGACCGAGCAACGCCGCGUGAGUGAAGAAGGUUUUCGGAUCGUAAAGCUCGGUUGUAAGAGAAGAACGGGUGUGAGAGUGGAAAGUUCACACUGUGACGGUAUCUUACCAGAAAGGGACGGCUAACUACGUG